This 678-nucleotide ribosomal RNA is filed under the name Microbacterium sp. Its description in RNAcentral is "bacterial SSU rRNA". It matches the Rfam family "Bacterial small subunit ribosomal RNA", at positions 332 to 1019 of the family's 1533-position model. The record is from RNAcentral. Lineage: Bacteria; Bacillati; Actinomycetota; Actinomycetes; Micrococcales; Microbacteriaceae.
CCUACUCCUACGGGAGGCAGCAGUGGGGAAUAUUGCACAAUGGGCGGAAGCCUGAUGCAGCAACGCCGCGUGAGGGAUGACGGCCUUCGGGUUGUAAACCUCUUUUAGCAGGGAAGAAGCGAGAGUGACGGUACCUGCAGAAAAAGCACCGGCUAACUACGUGCCAGCAGCCGCGGUAAUACGUAGGGUGCAAGCGUUAUCCGGAAUUAUUGGGCGUAAAGAGCUCGUAGGCGGUCUGUCGCGUCUGCUGUGAAAUCCCGAGGCUCAACCUCGGGCUUGCAGUGGGUACGGGCAGACUAGAGUGCGGUAGGGGAGAUUGGAAUUCCUGGUGUAGCGGUGGAAUGCGCAGAUAUCAGGAGGAACACCGAUGGCGAAGGCAGAUCUCUGGGCCGUAACUGACGCUGAGGAGCGAAAGGGUGGGGAGCAAACAGGCUUAGAUACCCUGGUAGUCCACCCCGUAAACGUUGGGAACUAGUUGUGGGGUCCUUUCCACGGAUUCCGUGACGCAGCUAACGCAUUAAGUUCCCCGCCUGGGGAGUACGGCCGCAAGGCUAAAACUCAAAGGAAUUGACGGGGACCCGCACAAGCGGCGGAGCAUGCGGAUUAAGUCGAUGCAACGCGAAGAACCUUACCAAGGCUUGACAUACACGAGAACGGGCCAGAAAUGUCAAACUCUGA